CCUACGGGAGGCAGCAGUAGGGAAUCUUCCACAAUGGGCGAAAGCCUGAUGGAGCAACGCCGCGUGGGUGAAGAAGGUCUUCGGAUCGUAAAACCCUGUUGUUAGAGAAGAAAGUGCGUGAGAGUAACUGUUCACGUUUCGACGGUAUCUAACCAGAAAGCCACGGCUAACUACGUGCCAGCAGCCGCGGUAAUACGUAGGUGGCAAGCGUUAUCCGGAUUUAUUGGGCGUAAAGGGAACGCAGGCGGUCUUUUAAGUCUGAUGUGAAAGCCUUCGGCUUAACCGGAGUAGUGCAUUGGAGACUGGGAGACUUGAGUGCAGAAGAGGAAAGUGGAACGCAAUGUGUAGCGGUGAAAUGCGUAGAGAUAUGAAAGAACACCAGUGGCGAAAGCGGCUCUCUGAUCUGUAACUGACGCUGAGGUUCGAAAGCGUGGGUAGCAAACAGGAUUAGAUACCCUAGUAGUC
RNAcentral lists this ribosomal RNA (465 nucleotides) under uncultured bacterium. RNAcentral describes it as "partial 16S ribosomal RNA". It matches the Rfam family "Bacterial small subunit ribosomal RNA", at positions 338 to 795 of the family's 1533-position model. The record is from RNAcentral.